UCUGCAACCAAAAACUUUAAAAAUCAAACCUUUUUGCAUUUUCGUCUCUGAAGUUU
This 56-nucleotide small RNA is filed under the name Arabidopsis thaliana (thale cress). RNAcentral's name for it is "ATSL239460". Lineage: Eukaryota; Viridiplantae; Streptophyta; Magnoliopsida; Brassicales; Brassicaceae. The record is from RNAcentral.